GACGAACGCUGGCGGCGUGCUUAACACAUGCAAGUCGAACGGAAAGGCCCUGCUUUUGUGGGGUGCUCGAGUGGCGAACGGGUGAGUAACACGUGAGUAACCUGCCCUUGACUUUGGGAUAACUUCAGGAAACUGGGGCUAAUACCGGAUAGGAGCUCCUGCUGCAUGGUGGGGGUUGGAAAGUUUCGGCGGUUGGGGAUGGACUCGCGGCUUAUCAGCUUGUUGGUGGGGUAGUGGCUUACCAAGGCUUCGACGGGUAGCCGGCCUGAGAGGGUGACCGGCCACAUUGGGACUGAGAUACGGCCCAGACUGCUACGGGAGGCAGCAGGGGGGAAUAUUGCACAAUGGGCGGAAGCCUGAUGCAGAAACGCCGCGUGCGGGAUGACGGCCUUCGGGUUGUAAACCGCUUUCGCCUGUGACGAAGCGUGAGUGACGGUAAUGGGUAAAGAAGCACCGGCUAACUACGUG
Molecule: ribosomal RNA, 468 nt
Filed under: uncultured bacterium
Lineage: Bacteria
Description: partial 16S ribosomal RNA
Rfam family: Bacterial small subunit ribosomal RNA
Source: RNAcentral